This 431-nucleotide ribosomal RNA is filed under the name uncultured bacterium. RNAcentral describes it as "bacterial SSU rRNA". It matches the Rfam family "Bacterial small subunit ribosomal RNA", at positions 11 to 429 of the family's 1533-position model. The record is from RNAcentral.
GUUUGAUCCUGGCUCAGAGCGAACGCUGACGGCGUGCUGGGGGGGAUGCAAGUCGAGUGCGCAGUUUUCUGUAGCAAUACAGGAAAUGGGCGCACGGCGCACGGGUGAGUAACACGUGGGUAACCUGCCCUUGGAUGGGGAAUAACCCCGCGAAAGCGGGGCUAAUACCGCAUAACAUUAUCGAAACUUUGGUUUUGAUACUCAAAGCCUGCAAAGGCGUCCGAGGAGUGGCCCGCGUACGAUUAGCUAGUUGGCGAGGUAAUGGCUCACCAAGGCUUUGAUCGUUAGCCGGUCUGAGAGGAUGGCCGGCCACACUGGAACUGAGACACGGUCCAGACUCCUACGGGAGGCAGCAGUGGGGAAUAUUGCGCAAUGGGCGAAAGCCUGACGCAGCGACGCCGCGUGGGGGAUGACGCUUUUCGGAGUGUAAA